AACGCAUAUUGCGCCCACUAGUAUUCUGGUGGGCAUGCCUAUUCGAGCGUCAUUUCAACCCUUAAGCCCUGUUGCUUAGUGUUAGGAGCCUACUACCUUACGGCGUAGCUCCCUAAAGGCAGUGGCGGUGUUAGGUACACUCGUAGCGUAGUAAUUCUUUUUCUCGCUCCUGCUGUGUACCUAGGGCCUGCCGUAAAACCCCUAUACUUCUAGUGGUUGACCUCGGAUUAGGUAGGAAUACCCGCUGAACUUAA
Molecule: unclassified non-coding RNA, 254 nt
Filed under: uncultured fungus
Lineage: Eukaryota; Fungi
Also listed under: 1 other name
Description: partial contains 5.8S ribosomal RNA, internal transcribed spacer 2, and large subunit ribosomal RNA
Source: RNAcentral